GUGGGUAGUUUGACUGGGGCGGUCUCCUCCUAAAGAGUAACGGAGGAGCACGAAGGUUGGCUAAUCCUGGUCGGACAUCAGGAGGUUAGUGCAAUGGCAUAAGCCAGCUUGACUGCGAGCGUGACGGCGCGAGCAGGUGCGAAAGCAGGUCAUAGUGAUCCGGUGGUUCUGAAUGGAAGGGCCAUCGCUCAACGGAUAAAAGGUACUCCGGGGAUAACAGGCUGAUACCGCCCAAGAGUUCAUAUCGACGGCGGUGUUUGGCACCUCGAUGUCGGCUCAUCACAUCCUGGGGCUGAAGUAGGUCCCAAGGGUAUGGCUGUUCGCCAUUUAAAGUGGUACGCGAGCUGGGUUUAGAACGUCGUGAGACAGUUCGGUCCCUAUCUGCCGUGGGCGCUGGAGAACUGAGGGGGGCUGCUCCUAGUACGAGAGGACCGGAGUGGACGCAUCACUGGUGUUCGGGUUGUCAUGCCAAUGGCACUGCCCGGUAGCUAAAUGCGGAAGAGAUAAGUGCUGAAAGCAUCUAAGCACGAAACUUGCCCCGAGAUGAGUUCUCCCUGAGACUUAGAGUCUCCUGAAGGAACGUUGAAGACGACGACGUUGAUAGGCCGGGUGUGUAAGCGCAGCGAUGCGUUGAGCUAAC
RNAcentral lists this ribosomal RNA (640 nucleotides) under Salmonella enterica subsp. enterica serovar Thompson. Its description in RNAcentral is "partial 23S ribosomal RNA". It matches the Rfam family "Bacterial large subunit ribosomal RNA", at positions 2261 to 2895 of the family's 2925-position model. RNAcentral also lists the same sequence under 2 other names. Lineage: Bacteria; Pseudomonadati; Pseudomonadota; Gammaproteobacteria; Enterobacterales; Enterobacteriaceae. The record is from RNAcentral.